RNAcentral lists this ribosomal RNA (730 nucleotides) under uncultured archaeon. RNAcentral describes it as "bacterial SSU rRNA". It matches the Rfam family "Archaeal small subunit ribosomal RNA", at positions 64 to 727 of the family's 1478-position model. The record is from RNAcentral.
GGGUUAAGCCCUCGGCGCACUGCUCCGUAAUACGCAGAUAACCUACCCUAAGGUGGGGAAUAAUCUCGGGAAACUGAGGCCAAUACCCCAUAGGUAUCCGAGGCUGGAAUGCACGGAUACUCAAAGCUCCGGCGCCCUAGGAUGGGACUGUGGCCUAUCAGGCUGUUGCUGGUGUAAAGAACCAGCAAACCUAUAACGGGUACGGGCUAUGGAAGUAGGAGCCCGGAGAUGGAUUCUGAGACAUGAAUCCAGGAUCUACGGAUCGCAGCAGUUACGAAACCUUUGCAAUGCAUUAACGUGCGACAAGGGAACUUGGAGUGCUCUAGCACUGCUAGAGCUUUUGCUUACUGAAAACGGGUAGGCGAAUAAGGGCUGGGUAAUACAGGUGCCAGCCGCCAUGCUGACAGUUGACUAAUUGUUAGCAGUUGUCGGCACGGUAAGCGGUAAUACCUGAGGCCCGAGUGAUGGCCACUAUUAUUGGGUCUAAAGCGUCCGUAACCGGUCUGGUGAGUCCUUGCUGAAAUCCUCCGGUAAACUGGAGGGCGUGGUAGGGAUACUGCCAGACUUGAGACCGGGAGAGGAUAGGGGUGCUCAUGGGGGAGGGGUUAAAUCCUGUAAUCCUAUGGGGACCACCUGUGGCGUUGGUUGCUCAUCGUGAGCGACUGCUAUAAGAGGCGCCUAUCUGGAACGGGUCUGACGGUGAGGGACGAAAGCGUGGGUAGCGAUCGGG